Molecule: long non-coding RNA, 215 nt
Filed under: Oryza brachyantha (malo sina)
Lineage: Eukaryota; Viridiplantae; Streptophyta; Magnoliopsida; Poales; Poaceae
Description: long non-coding RNA (OBRA_LNC000008)
Source: RNAcentral
AUAAUAAAACAAUAGUUGCUUUUUUGGUUAAUAAUUCAUGUCUAAAAUACUAUUUAGAUAAGAUGAAACAAUUCAUGCUUAAUGAUAUUAAUGCUUUGUGAGCACAUGAUUUUUAGAGAAUCAUAAAUAUGCACACUGCUUCUGAACUUUGGAGAAUUUAUAAUUAUAUUCCUUCAAAUAAUUUCGGACAGGGAGUAUCGAAUAAGAGAAAUACC